This is a small nuclear RNA of Dromiciops gliroides (monito del monte), 105 nucleotides long. The record is from RefSeq and is a predicted model, not a curated record. Lineage: Eukaryota; Metazoa; Chordata; Mammalia; Microbiotheria; Microbiotheriidae.
GCUUGCUUCACAAGUGCACAUACUAAUAUUGGAACGAUACAGAGAAGAUUGGCAUGUCCCCUUCACAAGGAUAACAAACAUACUUGUGAAGUGUUCCAUAUUUAG